GGUCAAGCUACGAAGGGCUCACGGUGGAUACCUU
This 34-nucleotide ribosomal RNA is filed under the name uncultured cyanobacterium. RNAcentral's name for it is "partial 23S ribosomal RNA". Lineage: Bacteria; Bacillati; Cyanobacteriota. RNAcentral also lists the same sequence under 1 other name. The record is from RNAcentral.